RNAcentral lists this ribosomal RNA (446 nucleotides) under uncultured bacterium. RNAcentral describes it as "partial 16S ribosomal RNA". It matches the Rfam family "Bacterial small subunit ribosomal RNA", at positions 354 to 796 of the family's 1533-position model. The record is from RNAcentral.
GUAAGGAAUAUUGGUCAAUGGGGGCAACCCUGAACCAGCCAUGCCGCGUGAAGGAUGAAGGCGUUAUGCGUUGUAAACUUCUUUUGUAUGGGAAGAAUGACAGGGAUUCAUCCUUGGAGAGACGGUACCAUACGAAUAAGCACCGGCUAACUCCGUGCCAGCAGCCGCGGUAAUACGGAGGGUGCAAGCGUUAUCCGGAAUCACUGGGUUGAAAGGGUACGUAGGCGGUUAAUUAAGUCAGUAGUGAAAGACUGUCGCUCAACGACGGAUGUGCUAUUGAUACUGGUUAACUUGAAUCAGGUUAGAGUUGGCGGAAUGGGUCAUGUAGCGGUGAAAUGCUUAGAUAUGACUUGGAACACCGAUAGCGAAGGCAGCUGACUGAGCAUUGAUUGACGCUGGGGUACGAAAGUGUGGGUAGCGAACAGGAUUAGAUACCCGUGUAGUCC